Oryzias melastigma (Indian medaka) is the source of this 1195-nucleotide long non-coding RNA. RefSeq lists it as uncharacterized. The record is from RefSeq and is a predicted model, not a curated record. Lineage: Eukaryota; Metazoa; Chordata; Actinopteri; Beloniformes; Adrianichthyidae. The transcript is spliced from 2 exons.
CUGGAGAAGUUGUGCAGAUGUUCUUCAGUCUGCACCGUCAUGAUUGACCAGCUACUAUGAGGACGACUGGAUCAGCCACAGAGCUCAUAAGAUGGAGCCCGAGGUGUGAAGGUAACUCCACAACAAUAAAAUCUGCGUUUUUAAGCAUCACUCUGACCAUGAAGGAUCGGUGGCAGCUCGGUGUCUUCAGGACGGCUGCACCAAAACACGACCUUCUACCGUUCCAGCAGCACGGCUGCUUAACUUCACUUUAUUCAAAGCAGCGGGUUGCCAUGGCGACAGCAGUUUUCUCAAUCUUUAAAUCCUUCUUCCUCCUGUUGGUAAAUAAGUUACUGGACAUGGAACGGACUUCAUUCCACACUCUAACCGUCUGUUCUGAACGUUCAUCUUUCCUGCUUGGACUGCCCACGCCCUCACCGGGUCACAUGAUCAGAGGAGGAGUGUAAACACAGCAGCGGAGAAGUGAAACAAAGUCACCUUCAAAGCAUCAAACGGAGGCUGCCAAAGUCAGGAAAAGGACUUUCCUGAUCUGGCUGGAAAGAAUCCUAUCUGUAUGGACCCCCCCUAACAGCUGAAUGUGAAUGAUGAACUCCUGGCAGCUCUGACAGGCCGGUUCUGUAGCGGCAGCCUGUUGAGGCGGUCAUCAGGAAACAUUCAGUCCGCUGACUGACUGAUGACCCACCUCACAGCCGAACAACAUUUGGCGGCGAUCGCGUCACCGAAUGACUCUCCCCACACGUUUAGGUGAUGCAUGUGAGGAUGUGCACGAGGCUGACGAUGAGUAACAGCCAGUCUGUUCAUCUGGACCCAACAGACCAUCAUGAAGACCGUCUAACAUCAAAGCAGAAGGUCACCGUUCUGUCACCUCAUGAGGAGACGUUUUCACGCGGUUCACAUCAAACUGGAUCGGAUUCAGAAAACUUUAUCCAGUCGAAAAACUAAAUAAAAGUGAGUACCUGUUCUGAACCGGGCCCUUGAAGUUUGGAUCAAACUUGCACGGCUCACCUGUAAAACAGAGUAAAUCAUCAGGAAAAGUUGGAAAAUUAUGUUUAUUUACAAAAACAUCACAAAUAAAUUAACAACUGAGUUAAAAACACAAACAACAUGUUUUUAAGGAGCUGAUAUUCAUCAUGAGUGAGCUUAAAGAAGAGAAAACCGGCCGAUCUGCAAAGAUCUGCAACCAACUGUUAAAAAA